RNAcentral lists this transfer RNA (73 nucleotides) under Mobiluncus curtisii. RNAcentral's name for it is "tRNA-Arg". It matches the Rfam family "tRNA". Rfam says of the family: Transfer RNA (tRNA) molecules are approximately 80 nucleotides in length. Their secondary structure includes four short double-helical elements and three loops (D, anti-codon, and T loops). Lineage: Bacteria; Bacillati; Actinomycetota; Actinomycetes; Actinomycetales; Actinomycetaceae. RNAcentral also lists the same sequence under 1 other name. The record is from RNAcentral.
GCCUUCGUAGCUCAAUGGAUAGAGCAACGGCCUUCUAAUCCGUAGGUUGUGGGUUCGAGUCCCACCGAGGGCA